GGGCUGGGGCUCAGUGGUAGAGCGCUUGCCUAGCAUGCGUGAGGCACUGGGUUCAAUCCUCAGCACCACA
This 70-nucleotide transfer RNA is filed under the name Marmota monax (woodchuck). RNAcentral describes it as "tRNA.Ala". The record is from RNAcentral. Lineage: Eukaryota; Metazoa; Chordata; Mammalia; Rodentia; Sciuridae.